GACGAACGCUGGCGGCGUGCCUAAUACAUGCAAGUCGAACGCUUCUUUCCUCCCGAGUGCUUGCACUCAAUUGGAAAGAGGAGUGGCGGACGGGUGAGUAACACGUGGGUAACCUACCCAUCAGAGGGGGAUAACACUUGGAAACAGGUGCUAAUACCGCAUAACAGUUUAUGCCGCAUGGCAUAAGAGUGAAAGGCGCUUUCGGGUGUCGUUGAUGGAUGGACCCGCGGUGCAUUAGCUAGUUGGUGAGGUAACGGCUCACCAAGGCCACGAUGCAUAGCCAACCUGGAGGGUGGUCGGCCCCACCUGGGCCUGAAAAACGGCCCGGACCCUUACGGAAGGAAGAGGUAGGGAACCUUGGCAAAUGGAGGAAAUUUUGCCCAAGCACCGCGGGGGGGGUGAAGAAGGUUUUCGGUUCGUAAAACUCUUUUGUUGGGGAAAAACAAGGCCGUUAGUAACGGACCGUCCCUGACGGUAUCUAACCAGAAAGCCACGGCUAACUACGUG
Molecule: ribosomal RNA, 507 nt
Filed under: uncultured bacterium
Lineage: Bacteria
Description: partial 16S ribosomal RNA
Rfam family: Bacterial small subunit ribosomal RNA
Source: RNAcentral